RNAcentral lists this ribosomal RNA (421 nucleotides) under uncultured Proteiniphilum sp. Its description in RNAcentral is "bacterial SSU rRNA". It matches the Rfam family "Bacterial small subunit ribosomal RNA", at positions 356 to 774 of the family's 1533-position model. Lineage: Bacteria; Pseudomonadati; Bacteroidota; Bacteroidia; Bacteroidales; Dysgonomonadaceae. The record is from RNAcentral.
GAGGAAUAUUGGUCAAUGGACGCAAGUCUGAACCAGCCACGUCGCGUGAAGAAAGACGGCCCUACGGGUUGUAAACUUCUUUUAUACGGGAAUAAAGUGCCCCACGCGUGGGGUUUUGCAAGUACCGUACGAAUAAGGAUCGGCUAACUCCGUUCCAGCAGCCGCGGUAAUACGGAGGAUCCGAGCGUUAUCCGGAUUUAUUGGGUUUAAAGGGUGCUCAGGCGGGGGAUUAAGUCGGCGGUGAAAUUUUGCAGCUCAACUGUAAAAGUGCCUUCGAAACUGGUUUCCUUGAGUGCGGAUGAAGAAGGCGGAAUUGGUGGUGUAGCGGUGAACUGCAUACAUAUCACGAGGACCUCCGAUAGCGCAUGCAGCUUACCAAGCCGUAACUGACGCUCAAGCACGAAGGCGUGGGUAUCAAACA